GUGCUCCUUUUGGCAGCACAUAUACUGAAAUGGGAACAAUACAGAGAAGAUGAGCAUGGCCCCUGCGCAAGGAUGACAUGCAAAUUCGUGAGGCGUUCCAUGUUUUU
Small nuclear RNA from Myotis myotis, 107 nucleotides. The record is from RefSeq and is a predicted model, not a curated record. Lineage: Eukaryota; Metazoa; Chordata; Mammalia; Chiroptera; Vespertilionidae.